This 103-nucleotide small nuclear RNA is filed under the name Pseudonaja textilis. Lineage: Eukaryota; Metazoa; Chordata; Lepidosauria; Squamata; Elapidae. The record is from RNAcentral.
UUGCUUCAGCAGCAUAAAAACUAAAAUUGGAAUGAUACAGAGAAGAUUACCAUGGCCCCUGCGCAAGGAUGACAUGCAAAUUUGUGAAGUGUUCCAUAUUUCA